This 154-nucleotide ribosomal RNA is filed under the name uncultured bacterium. Its description in RNAcentral is "partial 16S ribosomal RNA". It matches the Rfam family "Bacterial small subunit ribosomal RNA", at positions 1347 to 1500 of the family's 1533-position model. The record is from RNAcentral.
GAUCAGCAUGCCACGGUGAAUACGUUCCCGGGUCUUGUACACACCGCCCGUCACACCAUGGGAGUCGGUAACACCCGAAGUCAGUAGUCUAACCGCAAGGAGGGCGCGGCCGAAGGUGGGCUUGAUAAUUGGGGUGAAGUCGUAACAAGGUAAC